Molecule: ribosomal RNA, 484 nt
Filed under: uncultured bacterium
Lineage: Bacteria
Description: partial 16S ribosomal RNA
Rfam family: Bacterial small subunit ribosomal RNA
Source: RNAcentral
AUUGAACGCUGGCGGCAUGCCUUACACAUGCAAGUCGAACGGCAGCACGGACUUCGGUCUGGUGGCGAGUGGCGAACGGGUGAGUAAUGUAUCGGAACGUACCUUUCAGUGGGGGAUAACGUAGCGAAAGUUACGCUAAUACCGCAUAUUCUGUGAGCAGGAAAGCAGGGGAUCGAAAGACCUUGCGCUGAUUGAGCGGCCGAUAUCAGAUUAGCUAGUUGGUGGGGUAAAGGCCUACCAAGGCGACGAUCUGUAGCGGGUCUGAGAGGAUGAUCCGCCACACUGGAACUGAGACACGGUCCAGACUCCUACGGGAGGCAGCAGUGGGGAAUUUUGGACAAUGGGGGCAACCCUGAUCCAGCCAUGCCGCGUGAGUGAAGAAGGCCUUCGGGUUGUAAAGCUCUUUCGGCAGGGAAGAAAUCGCAUAGGCUAAUACCCUGUGUGGAUGACGGUACCGGAAUAAGAAGCACCGGCUAACUACGUG